GAUGAACGCUAGCGGCAGGCCUAACACAUGCAAGUCGAGGGGCAGCACAGAAACAGCAAUGUUUUGGUGGCGACCGGCGGACGGGUGCGUAACGCGUAUGCAACCUACCUUUAACAGGGGGAUAACGGAGAGAAAUUUCCACUAAUACCCCAUAACAUCGAUCAAGGCAUCUUGAUUGGUUGAAAACUCCGGUGGUUAAAGAUGGGCAUGCGUUGUAUUAGGUAGUUGGUGAGGUAAUGGCUCACCAAGCCUACGAUACAUAGGGGGACUGAGAGGUUAGCCCCCCACACUGGUACUGAGACACGGACCAGACUCCUACGGGAGGCAGCAGUGAGGAAUAUUGGUCAAUGGGGGCAACCCUGAACCAGCCAUGCCGCGUGCAGGAAGACGGCUCUAUGAGUUGUAAACUGCUUUUAAACAGGGAUAAAGCACAGUAUGUAUACUGUGUUGAAGGUACUGUAAGAAUAAGCACCGGCUAACUCCGUGCCAGCAGCCGCAGUAA
This 502-nucleotide ribosomal RNA is filed under the name uncultured bacterium. Its description in RNAcentral is "partial 16S ribosomal RNA". It matches the Rfam family "Bacterial small subunit ribosomal RNA", at positions 28 to 523 of the family's 1533-position model. The record is from RNAcentral.